Molecule: ribosomal RNA, 429 nt
Filed under: Actinomycetes bacterium
Lineage: Bacteria; Bacillati; Actinomycetota; Actinomycetes
Description: Actinobacteria bacterium partial 16S ribosomal RNA
Rfam family: Bacterial small subunit ribosomal RNA
Source: RNAcentral
UAGGGAAUCUUCCGCAAUGGGCGAAAGCUUGACGGAGCAACGCCGCGUGAGUGAAGAAGGUCUUCGGAUCGUAAAACUCUGUUAUUAGGGAAGAACAAAUGUGUAAGUAACUAUGCACGUCUUGACGGUACCUAAUCAGAAAGCCACGGCUAACUACGUGCCAGCAGCCGCGGUAAUACGUAGGUGGCAAGCGUUAUCCGGAAUUAUUGGGCGUAAAGCGCGCGUAGGCGGUUUUUUAAGUCUGAUGUGAAAGCCCACGGCUCAACCGUGGAGGGUCAUUGGAAACUGGAAAACUUGAGUGCAGAAGAGGAAAGUGGAAUUCCAUGUGUAGCGGUGAAAUGCGCAGAGAUAUGGAGGAACACCAGUGGCGAAGGCGACUUUCUGGUCUGUAACUGACGCUGAUGUGCGAAAGCGUGGGGAUCAAACAGG